UGAGCCAAGUUUAGGGUUUUCUCAAAACCCAAGCAGUAUUGAACUGAAGAGUUUGAUCAUGGCUCAGAUUGAACGCUGGCGGCAGGCCUAACACAUGCAAGUCGAGCGGAUGAA
This 114-nucleotide ribosomal RNA is filed under the name Pseudomonas aeruginosa. RNAcentral describes it as "partial 16S ribosomal RNA". The stretch from base 41 to 114 matches the Rfam family "Bacterial small subunit ribosomal RNA", at positions 1 to 74 of the family's 1533-position model. Lineage: Bacteria; Pseudomonadati; Pseudomonadota; Gammaproteobacteria; Pseudomonadales; Pseudomonadaceae. The record is from RNAcentral.